This is a long non-coding RNA of Sander lucioperca (pikeperch), 219 nucleotides long. RefSeq lists it as uncharacterized. The transcript has 3 exons. The record is from RefSeq and is a predicted model, not a curated record. NCBI's taxonomy places the organism in Eukaryota, Metazoa, Chordata, Actinopteri, Perciformes, Percidae.
UUCACACUUUAGCACUCAGUUUCCAGUUUAUUAGAUACAUCUAGCUAACACUAAUGCAGUGUUAUACAACAUGCCUGCAAUAAAUCCUACCUUCAUGAAGUAUGUUGGUGCCCUGGAGGAGAUGCUGGUGGCUCUGAGGAAAAGCCUGAGCAAACCCACAGCGGAAAUGCUGACUGAAUACACAAGAAAAAUAGAUUUUCUGAAAGGACUUCUUGAGGC